ACGACACUUAAUAUGAAACGGAGGGAGUAACAAAUAUAAAAUUAAUUAAAGUGUAGUGAUAGUGCAAAGGGGUCAGUUUUUUUUUAUUCACCGGAUUCAGAUCACUCUUAAUACAAAGUUUUACUCUUUGAAGUAGAAUUUUCAAAGUUGAUUUCUCACAUCUAUAAACAAAUAUAAACCUAAAACCCUAAAUUUCAGGUCUAUCAAAAAAAAAGUACAACCAAAUGACCAAUCCUAUUAAAAUUAAGUAAAAUUCAAU
RNAcentral lists this long non-coding RNA (259 nucleotides) under Brassica napus (rape). RNAcentral's name for it is "long non-coding RNA (BNAP_LNC012555)". Lineage: Eukaryota; Viridiplantae; Streptophyta; Magnoliopsida; Brassicales; Brassicaceae. The record is from RNAcentral.